UCCCUGGCGGUCCAGUGGUUAGGACUCCGCACUGUCACGGCUGAGGGCCCAGGUUCAAACCCUGGCCAGGGAA
Molecule: non-coding RNA, 73 nt
Organism: Kogia breviceps (pygmy sperm whale)
Lineage: Eukaryota; Metazoa; Chordata; Mammalia; Artiodactyla; Physeteridae
Source: the annotation of a RefSeq genome assembly